UACGAAGGGGGCUAGCGUUGCUCGGAAUCACUGGGCGUAAAGGGCGCGUAGGCGGCCAUUCAAGUCGGAGGUGAAAGCCCAGGGCUCAACCCUGGAAUUGCCUUCGAUACUGUCUGGCUAGAGACCGGAAGAGGUAAGUGGAACUGCGAGUGUAGAGGUGAAAUUCGUAGAUAUUCGCAAGAACAACCGGUGGCGAAGGCGGCUAAGUCUGGACAGAAACUGGACGC
RNAcentral lists this ribosomal RNA (227 nucleotides) under uncultured bacterium. RNAcentral describes it as "partial 16S ribosomal RNA". It matches the Rfam family "Bacterial small subunit ribosomal RNA", at positions 524 to 746 of the family's 1533-position model. The record is from RNAcentral.